GUCAAAGGCGCAUGCCUAUACAUGCAGUCCGAGCGGACAGAUGUGGAGCUUGCUCCCUGAUGUUAGCGGCGGACGGGUGAGUAACACGUGGGUAACCUGCCUGUAAGACUGGGAUAACUCCGGGAAACCGGGGCUAAUACCGGAUGGUUGUUUGAACCGCACGGUUCAAACAUAAAAGGUGGCUUCGGCUACCACUUACUGAUGGACCCGCGGCGCACUAGCUAGUUGGUGAGGUAACGGCUCACCAAGGCAACGAUGCGUAGCCGACCUGAGAGGGUGAUCGGCCACACUGGGACUGAGACACGGCCCAGACUCCUACGGGAGGCAGCAGUAGGGAAUCUUCCGCAAUGGACGAAAGUCUGACGGAGCAACGCCGCGUGAGUGAUGAAGGUUUUCGGAUCGUAAAGCUCUGUUGUUAGGGAAGAACAAGUACCGUUCGAAUAGGGCGGUACCUUGACGGUACCUAACCAGAAAGCCACGGCGAACUACGUGCCAGCAGCCGCGGUAAUACGUAGGUGGCAAGCGUUGUCCGGAAUUAUUGGGCGUAAAGGGCUCGCAGGCGGUUUCUUAAGUCUGAUGUGAAAGCCCCCGGCUCAACCGGGGAGGGUCAUUGGAAACUGGGGAACUUGAGUGCAGAAGAGGAGAGUGGAAUUCCACGUGUAGCGGUGAAAUGCGUAAAGAUGUGGAGGAACACCAGUGGCGAAAGCGACUCUCUGGUCUGUAACUGACGCUAAGGAGCGAAAGCGUGGGGAGCGAACAGGAUUAGAUACCCUGGUAGUCCACGCCGUAAACGAUGAGUGCUAAGUGUUAAGGGGUUUCCGCCCCUUAGUGCUGCAACUAACGCAAUAAGCACUCCGCCCGGGGAGUACGGUCGCAAGACUGAAACUCAGAGGAAUUGACGGGGGCCGCACAAGCGGUGGAGCAUGUGGUUUAAUUCGAAGCAACGCGAAGAACCUUACCAGGUCUUGACAUCCUCUGACAACCUAGAGAUAGGACGUCCCCUCCGGGGCAAAAUGACAGGGGGGGCAGGGUGUCCUCACCCGUGUCGGGAAGAUUGGGUUAAUCCCCCAACAAAGGCAACCCUUGAUUUUAUUUGCCCCCAUCAAUUGGGCCCCUAAGGGGAGUGCCGGGGACAACCCGAAGAAGGGGGGGGGGGGGGCCCAUCAUCAUGGCCCUUUUAAAAGGGGGGAAACCUUGCUU
Molecule: ribosomal RNA, 1200 nt
Filed under: Streptomyces sp.
Lineage: Bacteria; Bacillati; Actinomycetota; Actinomycetes; Kitasatosporales; Streptomycetaceae
Description: bacterial SSU rRNA
Rfam family: Bacterial small subunit ribosomal RNA
Source: RNAcentral